UACGGAGGAUGCGAGCGUUAUCCGGAUUUAUUGGGUUUAAAGGGUGCGUAGGCGGGCUGUUAAGUCAGCGGUAAAAUUUGGAGGCUCAACCUCCACGAGCCGUUGAAACUGGCAGUCUUGAGUGGGCGAGAAGUAUGCGGAAUGCGUGGUGUAGCGGUGAAAUGCAUAGAUAUCACGCAGAACGCCGAUUGCGAAGGCAGCAUACCGGCGCCCAACUGACGCUGAUGCGCGAAAGCGUGGGGAGCAAACAGG
This 252-nucleotide ribosomal RNA is filed under the name uncultured Bacteroidales bacterium. RNAcentral's name for it is "partial 16S ribosomal RNA". It matches the Rfam family "Bacterial small subunit ribosomal RNA", at positions 524 to 776 of the family's 1533-position model. Lineage: Bacteria; Pseudomonadati; Bacteroidota; Bacteroidia; Bacteroidales. The record is from RNAcentral.